This 279-nucleotide ribosomal RNA is filed under the name uncultured bacterium. RNAcentral describes it as "partial 16S ribosomal RNA". It matches the Rfam family "Archaeal small subunit ribosomal RNA", at positions 456 to 735 of the family's 1478-position model. The record is from RNAcentral.
UGCCAGCCGCCGCGGUAAUACCAGCACCUCAAGUGGUCAGGAUGAUUAUUGAGCCUAAAGCAUCCGUAGCCGGCGCUAUAAGUUUUCGGUUAAAUCUGUACGCUCAACGUACAGGCUGCCGGGAAUACUGUAACGCUAGGGAGUGGGAGAGGUAGACGGUACUCGGUAGGAAGGGGUAAAAUCCUUUGAUCUAUUGAUGACCACCUGUGGCGAAGGCGGUCUACCAGAACACGUCCGACGGUGAGGGAUGAAAGCUGGGGGAGCAAACCGGAUUAGAUA